RNAcentral lists this transfer RNA (77 nucleotides) under Campylobacterota bacterium. RNAcentral describes it as "tRNA-Pro". It matches the Rfam family "tRNA". From Rfam's summary of the family: Transfer RNA (tRNA) molecules are approximately 80 nucleotides in length. Their secondary structure includes four short double-helical elements and three loops (D, anti-codon, and T loops). The record is from RNAcentral. Lineage: Bacteria; Pseudomonadati; Campylobacterota.
CGGGAUGUGGCGCAGCUUGGUAGCGCGCACCCUUGGGGUGGGUGAGGUCGCAGGUUCGAAUCUUGUCAUCCCGACCA